Molecule: long non-coding RNA, 182 nt
Organism: Perognathus longimembris pacificus (Pacific pocket mouse)
Lineage: Eukaryota; Metazoa; Chordata; Mammalia; Rodentia; Heteromyidae
Exons: 3
Source: RefSeq, a predicted model, not a curated record
CAGAAGUACUAUUUCUUUACUGUGAAGAUCAUCUAGUCUCAACCAGGACCUAAAUGUCAGACUCUCUCUUCUGUGGAUGAAAUCUUCUCAAUAUGUAAACUUUUACCUAGUUCGCUUGCCAAGAAAGAGUCAAAGAAACUGGGUCAACCGAGAGAGGGAAAAUGGAGUUAUAUUCAAGGAUA